Molecule: transfer RNA, 74 nt
Filed under: Acinetobacter phage TAC1
Lineage: Duplodnaviria; Heunggongvirae; Uroviricota; Caudoviricetes; Luriaviridae
Also listed under: 11 other names
Description: tRNA-Thr
Rfam family: tRNA
About the family: Transfer RNA (tRNA) molecules are approximately 80 nucleotides in length. Their secondary structure includes four short double-helical elements and three loops (D, anti-codon, and T loops).
Source: RNAcentral
GCUGGUAUCGUAUAGUGGUAUUACGCUGGUCUUGUAAUCCAGUCACGGUGGUUCGAUUCCUCCUACCAGCACCA